Meleagris gallopavo (turkey) is the source of this 1540-nucleotide non-coding RNA. The record is from RefSeq and is a predicted model, not a curated record. NCBI's taxonomy places the organism in Eukaryota, Metazoa, Chordata, Aves, Galliformes, Phasianidae.
UCAGCUCUGUGAAGCACGUCAGCCCAUUUCUAACUUGAGCCACAUGAUUUAUCCCCCUGCCCAGCUUUGGUUGGGUGACUCAUGGAUUUCUAAGUUGGUCACGUCCUUCAGGAUGCUGCUGCAUUUAAUGGAGCCUCUCCUUCCCUCCAGCUCAAGGAUGAGGGAUCAGAGCUGAUGUCAAGCAAACAACUGGUCCUCCAGCAUUUCGCCAUCCUGCCUCCUGCCGAAGCUCAUGUCAACAUGUUCUGCUCUGGAAGCUGCAUUGUGGUUUUGUUUGACAAGGAGUACAGAAGCAUGCUGAAUACUUCAUGAAGGAAAUAACUGAAAGGAGGAGGAGGAGGGGCAGAUUAAAAAUGAAAUGUGCGCUGUUACCUGUGUGGCAGCAACUUAGGGCUGGUGGGCCCUUCUGACUUUGGAUGCUCUGUAUGGUCCAGCAGCCAUAUUGGGUGGAGCUGCGUGAAGACAUGGGAAUGCACAGAACUCCUCAUCUCCUGCUGCCACUGCUUCGGCACGUUUCCAGCCACAGACAGAAAAGACCAAGCUCACUGCACCAAGCAAAUGAGAAGAAAAAGAUUAAUAGCAUCACUCUCCAGGAAAAACUUCAUCUUCCUGUCCUCAUCUUGCCCUAUGGAGCAUGUUAUCAACUCAAGAAACUCCCAAUAGGAGAGAAAGCAAGUUCACACCCAGCUCUCUGCAGCCCCAGGCUGGAAGAUAGCUCUGCUUAGAGAAUCACUGAAAAGGCAGCAGAAAUAAAUUUCCCUCCCUGAGCUUUUCACAGCACAAAAGCUAUGCUUAAACAUGCUAGGAAGUGGCAUUUUGCAAAAAAAAGUUCAUUUUAAUAUCAGCUUGUUUAAAAAUCGAUCUGAAUGCUUUCUUAUUUUGUUCUUAAGAAUAAAGAGAGAGGAGCAAGAUGGGACACCCCAAAAUCAUUUUCCAUAGGCACAUCUCAUCUGUUUUCUGGAUUUUGGAAGCUGGAAAAUUUUUAAUCUCAUUUCUUUUUUUCACAAGGUGGCCUCACCUGUGCAGUGAGGGCUGAUCUGUCCCACUGCAGAAUGGCUCUGCUCUGGUGCUUUGGAUUUGAAUUCAAGUUUCCAAAGAGGGAAAUGGUAGCAAUAGGGCAGACAAGGCUCACAAUGUUGUCCUCCAAACAAUCAGGCUCUCCUUCUGUUUGCGAACACGCAAAAAUACUAUAGAUGCUGCAGAUGUAAUGUAAAUGCACUUACUGAAGUAUUUUUUUUUUUUUCUCUGAGUCCUAUUAAAAAGAAGAAAUGAGAAAGGCAAAACCAGCUGAAUCCUCUAUUUGUCUGCUCUCAGCGUGGGCAAUGCAGAAUGGCCCUGAAGCACUUAGGGGAAGGAGGAGAAGCAGCAGACAGAUGUAUUUUCCAGCUCUUUCUGCAACCAGACAAAAGCUUUCAUUAAGGACUGCCAUUUGGGCAGCUUCCCUGUGCUCACUGCUUAAUAAAAAGGCUGCCUGUGGCAUGGAGAGGCUAAGCUGGGGUCACGGGGCAGCUUGUGGGCAUAUGGUAGAGUCCAUCCCAAG